This 789-nucleotide ribosomal RNA is filed under the name uncultured Lactobacillus sp. RNAcentral describes it as "bacterial SSU rRNA". It matches the Rfam family "Bacterial small subunit ribosomal RNA", at positions 28 to 776 of the family's 1533-position model. The record is from RNAcentral. Lineage: Bacteria; Bacillati; Bacillota; Bacilli; Lactobacillales; Lactobacillaceae.
GACGAACGCUGGCGGCGUGCCUAAUACAUGCAAGUCGAGCGAGCUUGCCUAGAUGAAUUUGGUGCUUGCACCAAAUGAAACUAGAUACAAGCGAGCGGCGGACGGGUGAGUAACACGUGGGUAACCUGUCCAAGAGACUGGGAUAACACCUGGAAACAGAUGCUAAUACCGGAUAACAACACUAGACGCAUGUCUAGAGUUUAAAAGAUGGUUCUGCUAUCACUCUUGGAUGGACCUGCGGUGCAUUAGCUAGUUGGUAAGGUAACGGCUUACCAAGGCAAUGAUGCAUAGCCGAGUUGAGAGACUGAUCGGCCACAUUGGGACUGAGACACGGCCCAAACUCCUACGGGAGGCAGCAGUAGGGAAUCUUCCACAAUGGACGCAAGUCUGAUGGAGCAACGCCGCGUGAGUGAAGAAGGGUUUCGGCUCGUAAAGCUCUGUUGGUAGUGAAGAAAGAUAGAGGUAGUAACUGGCCUUUAUUUGACGGUAAUUACUUAGAAAGUCACGGCUAACUACGUGCCAGCAGCCGCGGUAAUACGUAGGUGGCAAGCGUUGUCCGGAUUUAUUGGGCGUAAAGCGAGUGCAGGCGGUUCAAUAAGUCUGAUGUGAAAGCCUUCGGCUCAACCGGAGAAUUGCAUCAGAAACUGUUGAACUUGAGUGCAGAAGAGGAGAGUGGAACUCCAUGUGUAGCGGUGGAAUGCGUAGAUAUAUGGAAGAACACCAGUGGCGAAGGCGGCUCUCUGGUCUGCAACUGACGCUGAGGCUCGAAAGCAUGGGGUAGCGAACAGG